This 67-nucleotide transfer RNA is filed under the name Eutreptiella gymnastica. Lineage: Eukaryota; Euglenozoa; Euglenophyceae; Eutreptiales; Eutreptiaceae. The record is from RNAcentral.
CGAGUGGCCGAGCGGUCAACCCCAUGAACUGCUGAGUGGCAGUCGCGGGUUCGAAUCCCUUCCUUCC